AAGUCGUAACAAGGUCUCCGUAGGUGAACCUGCGGAGGGAUCAUUACACAAUAUGAAGGCAGGCUGAAAUCUCUCGGGAGGACAGCCUUGCUGAAUUAUUCACCCGUGUCUUUUGCGUACUCUUUGUUUCCUUGGUGGGCUCGCCCACCACAAGGACAAACCUUAAACCUUUUGUAAUUGCAAUCAGCGUCAGUACCAAUAUAAUAAUUACAACUUUCAACAACGGAUCUCUUGGUUCUG
Molecule: unclassified non-coding RNA, 240 nt
Filed under: air metagenome
Description: partial contains small subunit ribosomal RNA, internal transcribed spacer 1, and 5.8S ribosomal RNA
Rfam family: Eukaryotic small subunit ribosomal RNA (bases 1-46)
Source: RNAcentral